RNAcentral lists this ribosomal RNA (375 nucleotides) under uncultured bacterium. Its description in RNAcentral is "bacterial SSU rRNA". It matches the Rfam family "Bacterial small subunit ribosomal RNA", at positions 28 to 404 of the family's 1533-position model. The record is from RNAcentral.
GACGAACGCUGGCGGCGUGCUUAACACAUGCAAGUCGAGCGGUAAGGCCCUUUCGGGGGUACACGAGCGGCGAACGGGUGAGUAACACGUGGGUGACCUGCCUUUAGCUCUGGGAUAAGCCUGGGAAACCGGGUCUAAUACCGGAUAUGACUCCGCGGCGCAUGUUGUGGGGUGGAAAGCCUUGUGCGGCUGGAGAUGGGCCCGCGCCUAUCAGCUUGUUGGUGGGGUNAUGGCCUACCAAGGCGACGACGGGUAGCCGGCCUGAGAGGGCGACCGGCCACACUGGGACUGAGACACGGCCCAGACUCCUACGGGAGGCAGCAGGUGGGGAAUCUUGCGCAAUGGGCGAAAGCCUGACGCAGCGACGCCGCGUGA